RNAcentral lists this ribosomal RNA (481 nucleotides) under uncultured bacterium. Its description in RNAcentral is "partial 16S ribosomal RNA". It matches the Rfam family "Bacterial small subunit ribosomal RNA", at positions 28 to 507 of the family's 1533-position model. The record is from RNAcentral.
GAUGAACGCUGGCGGCGUGCUUAACACAUGCAAGUCGAACGAAGCAUUUAGGACAGAUUACUUCGGUUUGAAGUUCUUUAUGACUGAGUGGCGGACGGAUGAGUAACGCGUGGGUAACCUGCCUUGUACUGGGGGAUAGCAGCUGGAAACGGCUGGUAAUACCGCAUAAGCGCACAAUGUUGCAUGACAUGGUGUGAAAAACUCCGGUGGUAUAAGAUGGACCCGCGUCUGAUUAGCUAGUUGGUGAGAUAACAGCCCACCAAGGCGACGAUCAGUAGCCGACCUGAGAGGGUGACCGGCCACAUUGGGACUGAGACACGGCCCAGACUCCUACGGGAGGCAGCAGUGGGGAAUAUUGCACAAUGGAGGAAACUCUGAUGCAGCGACGCCGCGUGAGUGAAGAAGUAAUUCGUUAUGUAAAGCUCUAUCAGCAGGGAAGAUAGUGACGGUACCUGACUAAGAAGCUCCGGCUAAAUACGUG